CCUACGGGAGGCAGCAGUGGGGAAUUUUGGACAAUGGGCGCAAGCCUGAUCCAGCUAUUCCGCGUGUGGGAAGACGGCCUUCGGGUUGUAAACCACUUUUGUAGAGAACGCAAAGUCUAUUGAUAAUACCGAUAGAUGAUGACGGUACUCUAAGAAUAAGCACCGGCUAACUACGUGCCAGCAGCCGCGGUAAUACGUAGGGUGCGAGCGUUAAUCGGAAUUACUGGGCGUAAGGGGUGUGCAGGUGGUUUUGCAAGAUGGAUGUGAAAGCCCCGGGCUUAACCUGGGAAAGCCAUACAUGACUGCAAGACUAGAGUGCGUCAGAGGGGGGUGGAAUUCCAAGUGUAGCAGUGAAAUGCGUAGAUAUUUGGAAGAACACCGAUGGCGAAGGCAGCCCCCUGGGACGCAACUGACGCUCAUACACGAAAGCGUGGGGAGCAAACAGGAUUAGAUACCCUGGUAGUC
This 465-nucleotide ribosomal RNA is filed under the name uncultured bacterium. Its description in RNAcentral is "partial 16S ribosomal RNA". It matches the Rfam family "Bacterial small subunit ribosomal RNA", at positions 338 to 795 of the family's 1533-position model. The record is from RNAcentral.